CUACGACCAUAUCACGCUGAAAACACCGGUUCUCGUCCGAUCACCGAAGUUAAGCAGCGUCGAGCUCGAAUGAGUACUUGGAUGGGUGACCGCCUGGGAAUACCGGGUGUUGUAG
This 115-nucleotide ribosomal RNA is filed under the name Mytilus coruscus. Lineage: Eukaryota; Metazoa; Mollusca; Bivalvia; Mytilida; Mytilidae. The record is from RNAcentral.